UGAUAGGUUAAGCUUUGCAUGGUGGGUGCUU
Molecule: non-coding RNA, 31 nt
Filed under: Rattus norvegicus (Norway rat)
Lineage: Eukaryota; Metazoa; Chordata; Mammalia; Rodentia; Muridae
Source: RNAcentral